RNAcentral lists this transfer RNA (73 nucleotides) under Chloroflexota bacterium. Its description in RNAcentral is "Chloroflexi bacterium (groundwater metagenome) tRNA-Arg". It matches the Rfam family "tRNA". From Rfam's summary of the family: Transfer RNA (tRNA) molecules are approximately 80 nucleotides in length. Their secondary structure includes four short double-helical elements and three loops (D, anti-codon, and T loops). The record is from RNAcentral. Lineage: Bacteria; Bacillati; Chloroflexota.
GCCCUCGUAGCCCAAUGGAUAGGGCGCUUGCUUUCUAGGCAGGAGAUUGCAGGUUCAAAUCCUGUCGAGGGUA